GACGAACGCUGGCGGCGUGCCUAACACAUGCAAGUUGAGCGACGAACCAGGGCUUGCCCUGGGGCAAAGCAGCGAACGGGUGAGUAACACGUGGGUAACCUACCCCGAUAACCGGGACAACCCGAGGAAACUCGGGCUAAUACCGGAUGUGCUCACUGGACUUCGGUUCAGUGCGUAAAGGAAGCUUCGGCCUCCGUAUCGGGAGGGGCCCGCGGCCCAUUAGUUUGUUGGUGAGGUAACGGCUCACCAAGACCGCGAUGGGUAGCUGGUCUGAGAGGACGAUCAGCCACACUGGGACUGAGACACGGCCCAGACUCCUACGGGAGGCAGCAGUGGGGAAUCUGGCGCAAUGCGAGAAAGCGUGACGCAGCAGCGCCGCGUGGGGGAAGAAGGCCUUCGGGUUGUAAACCCCUUUCAGGAGGGACGAAGGUGCGGCGGUGAAUAGCCGUCCGGACUGACGGUACCUCCACAAGAAGCCCCGGCUAACUACGUG
Molecule: ribosomal RNA, 493 nt
Filed under: uncultured bacterium
Lineage: Bacteria
Description: partial 16S ribosomal RNA
Rfam family: Bacterial small subunit ribosomal RNA
Source: RNAcentral